RNAcentral lists this ribosomal RNA (560 nucleotides) under uncultured Alphaproteobacteria bacterium. RNAcentral describes it as "bacterial SSU rRNA". It matches the Rfam family "Bacterial small subunit ribosomal RNA", at positions 338 to 916 of the family's 1533-position model. Lineage: Bacteria; Pseudomonadati; Pseudomonadota; Alphaproteobacteria. The record is from RNAcentral.
CCUACGGGAGGCAGCAGUGGGGAAUCUUGGACAAUGGGCGCAAGCCUGAUCCAGCCAUGCCGCGUGUGUGAUGAAGGCCUUAGGGUCGUAAAGCACUUUCGCCAGAGAUGAUAAUGACAGUAUCUGGUAAAGAAACCCCGGCUAACUCCGUGCCAGCAGCCGCGGUAAUACGGAGGGGGUUAGCGUUGUUCGGAAUUACUGGGCGUAAAGCGCACGUAGGCGGAUUAGUCAGUCAGAGGUGAAAUCCCAGGGCUCAACCCUGGAACUGCCUUUGAUACUGCUAGUCUUGAGUUCGAGAGAGGUGAGUGGAAUUCCGAGUGUAGAGGUGAAAUUCGUAGAUAUUCGGAGGAACACCAGUGGCGAAGGCGGCUCACUGGCUCGAUACUGACGCUGAGGUGCGAAAGUGUGGGGAGCAAACAGGAUUAGAUACCCUGGUAGUCCACACCGUAAACGAUGAAUGCCAGUCGUCGGGCAGUAUACUGUUCGGUGACACACCUAACGGAUUAAGCAUUCCGCCUGGGGAGUACGGUCGCAAGAUUAAAACUCAAAGGAAUUGACGG